CGGGAAUGACCCAGUGCAGGGAGUGACCUCCCCCCGGGAAUGACCCACCGCCCGGGAAUGACGGACGCACAGGGCCAUCCCUGUGAGCGAGCCCAUCUCAACACCAGGCUGUUGGUGACAUCCCUCCAGUUCCUCUUCCAGGCUGUGACUGUCCCAGGCCGCUGCAGGGAGGGCUUUCUCCUCAGGUGACACUAUUGCCUAUGUCCAAGCUCACGUAUGUGAGUAACAGCGCCGGGACAGAGACCAGGCUGGAGGCAGAGCCGUGUGAAAUACUGGUGUGUUUAUUGGUUGGCACUAGAUUACAGCCCACGCGCUCGGCAAACUGGCAUCCACGAAUUUUAUGGUUUUAACUUUUUACUUGACAGCUUCCCCCUUGCACACAACUCAACAGAGGAAACCCUUCCCGACAGGACCCCGACUGCCCGGCGACGGAGCGAGCGCAGAGUGGGCAGAGCCCUCUGGCCUUCCUGGAGACACUGCGGAUCAAAGAUCAGAACCAUGGAGGUAUGUGCUACACCUGCCAGCCAGGAUCAAGCAGGAGAGCACCUGCAUUAUCCAGAGGCUCCAACUGAGAUCUGAGCCCUGAAGGAAACGGGACGUGUUUUCUACUGAACAUGUUUGACUUUGAGCAAAGGUGUCAUAAAAAUAAGUAAGAAAAAGUAUCCACUGAAAUGCUCUGUUUCCAAAGUGCCUCUGCAGCUGUAAAGUGUUUCUGCAAACUAUUUCACCUUAAUUCGUCAUAACCCUCCCACGUGAACUUCACCAGGAGAAAAGAAACACCAAGGGCUGGGGUGAAGAACCGAGACCUGCAGCCAGGAAAAGAAACCCAAACAGACUAUGGGAAUUACAAGUCCAAAACCAAUCUCAAAUUCACAGAGAAUUGAGCAUUUCACUUAUGAUUCACUGAAAACACUUGAAAAUCUCAGGCUUCUUUUAAUUCUAAUAAAUUAGCAAGUUCCAAACUUGCUGACACUUCCCCGUGGAAGCCAAGCGGCAAGAGCGGCUUAAGGACCUCCACGAGACAUCCCAACCGACCCCACCAAAUCCCAACUGACCCCACAUCUCAACCAACCACACAUCCCGACCAACCCCACCAUGUCACACAAAGCAGGACACCCCAGGAUCCCUCCAGGCUCUGCAGCAGCCCCACCCCAGGCCUGGACACCAGGAUGACUCAGAACAGUGUCUGUGAAGGGUCAGAGCCCGUUUCCCUCGGGCUGCUCACACCUGUCAGUGCCUGGGUUGGUGUCAGUCCCACUCAGUCAGGAGAGUGAGUUUGAAGGUACCAGCUCAGACACAAACCAGGGACAGGAAAGCCCUGAGGCUCUGACUGACCUGGGGUUCCUAUGGAGAAGGCUCAGGCAGACACGCUCACACCCGGCUCCGAGGGCUGCCAGGGAGCCCCAGGUACACAGAGCUCAUGGAAAGACUGAGCAGCAAAUAAUGCAAAGAGAUUGUUCCAGAUCUUGAGAUAUAGUAAAUAUAAAAUAGGACACACAGGAAGUUCAGCAAACACUCUUGGACCUCCCCACAUUAAUUUCUGAGGCAAUUCUAGAGCCAAUUUCUCAAGUAUAACUUCAAAAUUCCCACCUUUCCACCAAAAAAAAACAAAAAAAAAAAAAAGGGAAAAAACCCCAAUGGACUAGCACCAAAAAGAGAUUUUAUAAAUCUCCUAAAUACAACUUUAGUCCAGUUCAGUUUCUUUUUCACCAGCUACACCUCUUGGUUAUGUACAGACUCCUGACACUAACCCCAGUACAGCACUGCAGGAUCUGCCCCCACCCCAGCCCAGAGCAGCUGGGUUAGUUCAACACCAGGAACGUGAGGAUCACACCCUGUGUGUGUCAGGGGCUCGGGGACAAGCCCAGGGGUGCUCCAGCCACAGGGUCACUGUGUCCCAGCAGAGCCACAGCCACCGGAUGACACUGUUACUGAGCAGGAAAAUGGAGCCAGGAGGGAAAACAGCCUGGGAGCAGGAGCAGAGAGGGCACUGGGUCACUCAGUGCUGCUGAGCAUCUCUGGGAUCAAAGCUCCUCCCACGGCAACCCCACCACUGCUGGGGGCAGGUUUGGCUAAAGAGACCGAGACCUCUGACCCUGCUCCGGCCACAGGCUCCGCUUGGGAGGGUCAAACCCUCAACCCACUCACCCCUGUUGCUUUGCACAGGUCCAGCCACUGCAUCAGGCUGUGUGAAAGCACAAACACAUCCACUGGGGAUAAAACAGUGGGUCUGAGAACAGGCAGGAAAAUCUACAGCUCUUGUAACUGGGGCACACGUUGGGCCUGUGCAGCCUCCAGGAUUUUGCUCCCCGGGAGCAACCGCACACUGCGGAAUGCUGGACACGGUUUCUGCAUGGAAAAGCUGAGGCCCAGAGCCUGUGCUGGAUCCAGGAAGGGAACUGAGGAUUCCUGACAUUCCCUACCCACAUUUUUAGCCACUGAAUACUUUGUGUCCGCACAAGGGAAAAAGCAUCACUUGCAGAUUCCAACCCCUUUUCAUGUCUCCCUUUACAGAGUUUGCUUUAAGGCACACUCCAGCUGAGGCUGAAUGAGCUGCCUCCGUGCUCCAUGGAGAGCAGGGAAGAGCUCACAGCAUCCACCUACCCAGGAACAGACCUGCCAGCUCAGGGGGGCCCUACAACUGCUGCACCUCGUGGGCAUCCCCUGCGGGACCCACCUCACACCAGUGCCCAGGGAGCAGAGCUGGGCUGAGAGCCAGCUGAGAACUGCUCUGAGGGGAUGCUCCAUGUAAGGGUCAGGCCAGUCACAACAUGCUGAGGUAAGAAUCCCCCUAUCCAAUGCUACCAGCUCAGAACAGCACCAGGUUUAGCAAGGCUGGGAGCCCAAGGCUCAUCCCACAGGGUUCAGCAGGGUCAGGACAGUGGCCUCAGCACGGACACCAAGCAGCACCAGCCCAGGCUGCAGAACCAGAGCACGGGGCCGCCCUCCCAGCAGGUCCCCUGUCCCUCACACAGGCACUGACUGUCAGUCCCAAACCAACUAACACCAGUUUGGAUAAAACCACUGCAAUUGCUGGGCUCUGCAGCUGGACCAGCUCUAGAAAGAACCUCAGAUGCUGAGGAAGACAGGAAUGGUGUGGUGCAGGGAGAGCUCAGGGAGCACAGGGCUAAGGCCUGGUCUGAAAUCUGCAUCUCUUCAGUCAAGACUAUUCCUGCCCCAGAAGCCAUUUCCAGUUACAAGGCAUAACAUCAGCCACUCUGUGGUAACAGCAUCAACUCAUGCCACAUUAGAACACUUUCUUGGCACAAUUUAUUUUUCUGACCCAAACAAAUAAGCCAUUAGCAAGUCAUUAACAAUAUUCUACCCUAUAUUGUCAGUUUAACAGCCCUGUAAAAACAUUUUUAGUUUAAAAACAAAAGUGUGCAUGCUGCUGAUAUUAAAACUGCAGUUACUCUUUCAGGAGUACCAGCUGUUUUGUUGCAACGCGUUCCCAACAUACUAAUCUGUACAGAAGAGACCAAGACUCCUCGAAGGCAGUAGUUGGCUGUGUCAGGUGCCUCGCAGGGACAGUGUUGGAAUUCCUUGUACACUUCCAGACAGAAUAUUCAAGCCCUUUGAGAGUUUGGUUCAGGCUGACCAGCACAGAGUGAGAAAGGAUUGUACAUUCGUCUCUAAGUUGAAGUGAGCUGAACUGGUGUAAUUUAGGCUCAAUUCCAGCUGCCCGGGUUUGAGCUACUCCUUGAAUAAUGGGCUGUUCCUUACGCGUGGUUUUCCAUGUCAGCGAUCGCUGGCACUGCUUUUGGCCUUGCUACUCCACACUGAUGAAAGCAGGGAGAACAAGGAAAGGAACAGAAGAGGAUCUUAAAAUGAACAGCUUCUUGCCAAACCAGCAAGGAUACCAUUCCCCCUUGUCCCAGGCUCCAUGGAUAUUUCUAUCAGAUUUUCAUAUUGUAAGCGCUUCUCGGGAAGAGAGAAAACUCCGGAACAGUGAGUGUUUAUUAGAAUAUUUUUUGUUAAAUAAAGAGAAGGAAAAAAAAAGGAAAAAAAAAA
This is a long non-coding RNA of Pseudopipra pipra, 4011 nucleotides long. RefSeq lists it as uncharacterized. The transcript is spliced from 2 exons. NCBI's taxonomy places the organism in Eukaryota, Metazoa, Chordata, Aves, Passeriformes, Pipridae. The record is from RefSeq and is a predicted model, not a curated record.